CCUUGUACACACCGCCCGUCACACCAUGGGAGUUGGCUUUACCCGAAGGCGUCGCGCCAACCGCAAGGAGGCAGACGACCACGGUAGGGUCAGCGACUGGGGUG
This 104-nucleotide ribosomal RNA is filed under the name uncultured bacterium. Its description in RNAcentral is "partial 16S ribosomal RNA". It matches the Rfam family "Bacterial small subunit ribosomal RNA", at positions 1379 to 1482 of the family's 1533-position model. The record is from RNAcentral.